AAAGCCUGACAGGUUUCUCCGGGAAAGUGACCAUCCAUGGAAUGAAUGAAAUGUUCCCUUUCUAUUCCUCGUGGGUCCAAGCCUGUAGCCCCAAAUCGGAUAAUCUCUGCAGCUGAUAACAAGCAAAAGAGAAGCCAGGCAACAGCCAUAUUAAAGAAGAAAACAAUCAACUCUGAGGAUACAGACAGGCAUGCAGAAGUAACUAGACGUCCAACACAUGGCAAAGUCUUGCGGGCCCAGGAUUUCAAACAAAAGAAAACUCGGACAGGAGUGCUCUGCCCACCUGGACUGAGGGAACAGCCCUGGCAAAGUCUCAAGACAGGUCAAGAAACUGGGGAAGGCAAUCAGCUCUUGCAUCGUCCACAUUGUUUCUGGAGCACAGCCUGGCUGAUCCUGGGGCUAGAGCUCAGAACCAGAUCCAGCUUAGAAAUAAUGUUUCACUCAAGAUAA
This 450-nucleotide long non-coding RNA is filed under the name Bos grunniens (domestic yak). RNAcentral describes it as "lncRNA (ENSBGRG00000001806.1)". The stretch from base 70 to 178 matches the Rfam family "SOX2 overlapping transcript exon 4". Lineage: Eukaryota; Metazoa; Chordata; Mammalia; Artiodactyla; Bovidae. The record is from RNAcentral.